Corticium candelabrum is the source of this 1462-nucleotide long non-coding RNA. RefSeq lists it as uncharacterized. The transcript has 2 exons. NCBI's taxonomy places the organism in Eukaryota, Metazoa, Porifera, Homoscleromorpha, Homosclerophorida, Plakinidae. The record is from RefSeq and is a predicted model, not a curated record.
CACACACACACACAAAUGUCAAGCCCUCCACGUCAUUGUGAAUGACUUCAGCUGAGGAGAUAGCUCUUCUGCCUCUAGAGACAGGGCCUCCAUGCGCUACGUGGAGGCUUAGGGACAUCGCUACAAUCCACCUAGAGCUUGGCCGGAGUGAUCCAGGGGCACUGACAAUGGCGCAGCUCUGGGACUGGACACCAAGGCCCACAAGUACCCGUCUGCUGCAUGAUGUUACUGCCAAGCCAGCAGUCAUGUCCACCCCAGUCAAUGACUAGGUACUUACUCAUUUAUACUCCCGAGUUGAGAAAAUCAAUUGUGUGUAAAUUUCUUGCUUAAGGAAAUUAUGCCAUAGCUCGCCAUCACUGUGACUUGAACCUGCAACCCGACAAGGUUCCCGGAUGUUUUCAUUCUCCAAAUGCACUCUCUAACCGAUUGAGCUACAGCACCACACACACACACACAUACACACACACACACACACACACACACACACACACACACACACACACACACACACACACACACAAGAACGAGCUAACACAAAUAUUCUGUGAAGUGUUGGCCCACUAGACUAUUGUAAAAAUCUUUGGAAGUACUUAAACAGCUGUGGUGCUGUGACACUAACUGAAGUUGGGCCUCCCAGUUAUGUGGCACAAGUAGUGUGUUUACCACUACCACAGCUAAUGCUGCAUUAUUUUGUACGUCUGAUGUGAGAGUAGUAACUAAUAUAGUGGUUUGUUUGUUGAAAGCUGUAAUUGUGGCCAAGUGCGUUUUGUCCAAUGGAAUUUAAACUGUUCGUGUUUAUUUGGAAUCAAGCUUGCAACCCAGCAAGGUUGCAGUAGUACUACGUUCAACAUGUGUGUUUUCUACAUACAUCAAGCAAUCCACAUGAUAACCCCACACCCACAUGUACUGACUAUAUUAUGAGCUUCCACAGUGUUGUGAUGCGGGAAGGUAAGCAGGCUAACUUGAACAUGAGUUUUUAUUUGCAAUCUAUAAUGAGGAUAGAGAACACAACUGUGGUCUCCAAACAUGAAUUAUGACAAAGAAAUUCUACCAUUUUUGCUAGAUGGGCAUUUGGACUUUCAUGGUGUGUUUUGUUUUUGGCAAUCAAGUUGCUUUCCACUGACUUGUUCGGCUCUUUACAUUAAAGUUGGCAUGAAGAUAACGCACCCACACCCACAUGUGCACAAACUUGGUUGGUACAUGUGAGUUACAUGUAGACUGUAGGUUCUACUGUAGCAUGAUCUAAUCUGUUGUAUCUGUUUGAAGGCUGGCUUAGAACUACAGUUAUGCAAAGAUAUCGACCUCACUCAGUCAUAACAGAGAAGACUGGCUAAAUGUCAAUCAAAGUUGUUGCAUGCUGUACACUGCAGAUAAUAUGUACUAACAAGUUAAUUUCCAUCUGCAUACAAGAUGAAGCAGUUUGCAUUUUCAGAUAACGAAUAGAGCACGUUCUAUUUCAUGU